RNAcentral lists this long non-coding RNA (608 nucleotides) under Homo sapiens (human). RNAcentral's name for it is "non-protein coding LINC02190:7". Lineage: Eukaryota; Metazoa; Chordata; Mammalia; Primates; Hominidae. The record is from RNAcentral.
AAGAGAACUAGAUGUUAUCUAGUGUUAUCCUGCUGAUCCCAAUUUCCUAUAGUUCUGGCACCAGAAAAUCCUGAAUGAUAGGUUUUUCUGAAGCUGCUGACAUCGGGUCAGCCCUCAACACCAUCACCUUUGGCCAUGUUCAGGAAGUACUCAAAGGUAACACUGGCAGCCAAGAGCAGGCCAAUCAAUGUCUGGCCACCACCCUAAUCCCACCUGGACAGUCACACCCCACCUCCCUAUGUGUGUUCGCACAGUGGGGGUGAUAUCAUGUGGGUCUGGCCUGUCCUGAGCAGAACCUGGUGUUGGGUUGUCAGAAACCCAGUGACCCAUCACGUUCACUCUUCAGAUCAUGGCUCAAAAGUCUGCAGAGCAGAGACAAGAGAUUGACAAAGAGGUGUUGAUGAGUGAGAUGUUACUGUUCUGCUCUGGAGAAGAUACUGUCAGAUAAUGUCCCGCAUUUCCAUCAGCUGGCAUGCAUGCCUUUGGACUCGGACAGGGUUCUUUGGAUUGUAGCUGAAUUUUCAAUGUUUAGUCAAUAUGGAUCUGAUCUCCGCAUGAUCUUUUUUGUGAAUGCCAACACCAUUUUGUAACUUUUUUCCAUUCUAAAC